AUUGAACGCUGGCGGCAGGCCUAACACAUGCAAGUCGAGCGAGCGGCGGACGGGUGAGUAAUGUAUGGGGACUGCCCGAUAGAGGGGGAUAACUACUGGAAACGGUGGCUAAUACCGCAUACUAUCGGAUAACCCAUAUGGGAUUAGCUCGUAGGUGGGGUAAAGGCUCACCUAGGCGACGAUCUCUAGCUGGUCUGAGAGGAUGAUCAGCCACACUGGGACGGAGACACGGCCCAGACUCCUACGGAGGCAGCAGGGGGGAAUAUUGGACAAUGGGCGAAAGCCUGAUGCAGCCAUGCCGCUGGGAUGAAGAAGGCCUUAGGGUGGUAAAGUACUUUCAGCGGGGAGGCGUUACCCGCAGAAGAAGCACCGGCUAACUACGUGCCAGCAGCCGCGGUAAUUC
This 403-nucleotide ribosomal RNA is filed under the name uncultured bacterium. Its description in RNAcentral is "partial 16S ribosomal RNA". It matches the Rfam family "Bacterial small subunit ribosomal RNA", at positions 29 to 526 of the family's 1533-position model. The record is from RNAcentral.